RNAcentral lists this transfer RNA (68 nucleotides) under Rena humilis (western threadsnake). RNAcentral describes it as "Thr-tRNA". It matches the Rfam family "tRNA". Rfam says of the family: Transfer RNA (tRNA) molecules are approximately 80 nucleotides in length. Lineage: Eukaryota; Metazoa; Chordata; Lepidosauria; Squamata; Leptotyphlopidae. The record is from RNAcentral.
GCUCUAAUAGCUUAAACACCAAAGCAUUGUUCUUGUAAACCAAAAAUUGGGCCAACCCCAUUAGAGCA